CUUGCUUCUCUUGAGAGCGGCGGACGGGUGAGUAAUGCCUAGGAAUCUGCCUGGUAGUGGGGGAUAACGUUCGGAAACGGACGCUAAUACCGCAUACGUCCUACGGGAGAAAGCAGGGGACCUUCGGGCCUUGCGCUAUCAGAUGAGCCUAGGUCGGAUUAGCUAGUUGGUGGGGUAAUGGCUCACCAAGGCGACGAUCCGUAACUGGUCUGAGAGGGUGAUCAGUCACACUGGAACUGAGACACGGUCCAGACUCCUACGGGAGGCAGCAGUGGGGAAUAUUGGACAAUGGGCGAAAGCCUGAUCCAGCCAUGCCGCGUGUGUGAAGAAGGUCUUCGGAUUGUAAAGCACUUUAAGUUGGGAGGAAGGGUUGUAGAUUAAUACUCUGCAAUUUUGACGUUACCGACAGAAUAAGCACCGGCUAACUCUGUGCCAGCAGCCGCGGUAAUACAGAGGGUGCAAGCGUUAAUCGGAAUUACUGGGCGUAAAGCGCGCGUAGGUGGUUUGUUAAGUUGGAUGUGAAAUCCCCGGGCUCAACCUGGGAACUGCAUUCAAAACUGACUGACUAGAGUAUGGUAGAGGGUGGUGGAAUUUCCUGUGUAGCGGUGAAAUGCGUAGAUAUAGGAAGGAACACCAGUGGCGAAGGCGACCACCUGGACUAAUACUGACACUGA
RNAcentral lists this ribosomal RNA (674 nucleotides) under uncultured bacterium. RNAcentral's name for it is "bacterial SSU rRNA". It matches the Rfam family "Bacterial small subunit ribosomal RNA", at positions 79 to 749 of the family's 1533-position model. The record is from RNAcentral.